Musa acuminata AAA Group (dessert banana) is the source of this 2248-nucleotide long non-coding RNA. RefSeq lists it as uncharacterized. The record is from RefSeq and is a predicted model, not a curated record. The transcript is spliced from 4 exons. Lineage: Eukaryota; Viridiplantae; Streptophyta; Magnoliopsida; Zingiberales; Musaceae.
UAUAUUUAGAUCAUGUGGGUAAUGCUUCCUUUUUUCCUUGACCUUUGUUGGAUUGCAGCUCUACAAGACCAGGGAAGACAAGUAUCUCCUUGACUUGCAGAGGGUCAGUGGGCCGCAUCUCCUCUUUCUCGACUUAUGUGCUGCCUUACUUGCCCAGCUUAGAGUCCUAUAACACUGGCCUUCUUUUCUUCUAAGUUUUGUUGUUCCUUCUUCUUGUGAAUAUGGAAUUUGCCUAAUGCUGAUGCCAUACACGUUGUAACUUUCACGUUGAUGUGUUGUCGCCACAAGAUCACACGGUUAAAUGAUUGCCUGAUUUUUUUGGGCAAUGUUUCCUAAGUUUCUGAUACCUAAGUCUGAUCAACCUCCUUUGAUCUCAAAGAGCACUAAUUACAUGGCUUGUUGGCAUAAAUAAUGGGUAGAACAUGAUCUCUAUGAUGCCUGAAAUUUAUCGGAUUGUAAGCAAUUUUGUUCAUGGUGACACAGUUUUCUUGUCAAGGACAGUGAGACUUUCAUGGAUUUGAGGUCUUAAUAUAGUAAAUUCUUGCUCUUGAACUCCAUUUAUUCUUUAUCGUUUGCUCUUCUAUAUAUAUAUAUAUAUAUAUAUAAGGUGUUGUUGCUCCGUAUGAGGUACUCCAACGUUCGUUAGCAGCCCUGUGGCCUUCGUCGUCCGCCGCCACCGCAGAGGACGCCUUUCGCCGGCCCAAAUCCCUCUGCCAUUCCUAUCAAAUGGCAUGCUAUUGCAUCGGCUUUCGUGGGAGAAUUGAGUGUUCGUGCUUUAAUGGUCAGGAUGGGGUCGGAACGUUCGUCUCCUGGGCGGAAGGCAUUCGAUCUUAAGGUGUUUGAUGAAAUUCGUCGCAGACAUGUUGUCUCUAGGGAUUCGAUUUUGGUGGGUAAUACGAGGUAGGUGAUUCGUCAGGAGGCACUGGACGUGUUCGGAGCGAGGAGCAAUGCUGAUCUGGUGCCUGAUGGAUGGGAAGCGUGGGAAAUUAUACCAGACGCCAGAAUGCUUCGACAGGUCUGAUCAAUACAUUACCACCAACUACGGCUCAGAAAUCAACACUUUUGAUGCGGUUGCAAUUUAGAGAUGUUUGGUCACUGUCGCUUUCUUUUACAUGUUCGAUGAAAUGUUUGCGAACCUGAGCAAGAAAAGAGCUGCCUGUGGCUUCCUUAUGGCAUCGUGCGCAAGUAGGCGCAGAGCAGCUGACAACAAUUCAUGGCAGUGGCAUUGCAAGUCCGAUGUGAAUGAACUCAUGCGCGGAACUCUUCUUUUGUUGUACGGAUCGAGGAAGGUGUUUGAGUAAUUACACAAGUGAACGAUGGAUCCUGUCGGGAUAUUCUUGGAAUUUUCCAAGCGACCGGAUAUAGUGAGAUAGAUAACAGGUGGCUUCUGUCCAUUCCGAGGACGAUGGCUGCAACGCAUGGCUGUCUGAGGUCGCUUCGUCCUGCUCCCCUCUUCUCCUCCUCCUCAGCCGCAGCAGCAGCAGCACCGAAGCAGUUAUUCCACUAUCCAUGUCCUUCUCGCACUUCACUCCCCAUUUCGAGAAGGGAUGCGCUUCUGAUAUCUGUUCUGCCCCUCAGCUUCAUUGCGCUCCCCCUUCCUUCGCAAGCCAGGGAGAGAAGAGGAAGGAAGGCCAUCGCUCCCGAGGAGUACUCCACCAGCCAGGACUGUGGUCAUUCCUCCCGAGCUCGGUUAUGGAAAAAAGGGAAUGAAUGAAAUACCACCUGGAGCUGAUUUUGAAAUGAAUGUGGAGCUUUUGGAAGUGAUACGUCCAGGAGAAAAUUAUUAGACUGGAAAUGUGAUUAGUAGCUGAACUCAAAACCAGAAUCCCACUGGGUAUAAAGUAUGUGCUAAGAACCGAAGGAGCUUUUUUUGUUUUUUGUUUUUGUGCUUAAACCUUGUCAUCUGCCACCAUAUCCGUGUAAUAUCACAAUUGACUUGCGAUGAUAGACAUGUUCUACACCAUUUUGAUCUUUUUAGUACAUUCUAAUGAUGUACUCCAUUAAUGUAAGUAAAUUGACAAACAUCUUAUUAUCGCUUGAUGUCGGUGAUCACCUUUGAGUAGGGCAAUUAAUCAAAUCUAAUUUAGAUCCAACCUACACUACACUACGGGUGUCGAUGUCGCUGAGGGCUUUUAAUUUUAACACGACGAUAAACUUAGAUUUCUUUGGAUAUUUUCCAUUCUCUAAUUAAUAAUACCAAGAUGAAUGAGAUAGGAAUGAAUUUGAUUGUGUUUGAACUAAUCAAAGC